ACGCGGCGGCGUGCCUAAUACAUGCAAGUCGAACGAAACUUUCUUACACCGAAUGCUUGCAUUCACCGUAAGAAGUUGAGUGGCGGACGGGUGAGUAACACGUGGGUAACCUGCCUAAAAGAAGGGGAUAACACUUGGAAACAGGUGCUAAUACCGUAUAUCUCUAAGGAUCGCAUGAUCCUUAGAUGAAAGAUGGUUCUGCUAUCGCUUUUAGAUGGACCCGCGGCGUAUUAACUAGUUGGUGGGGUAACGGCCUACCAAGGUGAUGAUACGUAGCCGAACUGAGAGGUUGAUCGGCCACAUUGGGACUGAGACACGGCCCAAACUCCUACGGGAGGCAGCAGUAGGGAAUCUUCCACAAUGGACGCAAGUCUGAUGGAGCAACGCCGCGUGAGUGAAGAAGGUCUUCGGAUCGUAAAACUCUGUUGUUAGAGAAGAACACGAGUGAGAGUAACUGUUCAUUCGAUGACGGUAUCUAACCAGCAAGUCACGGCUAACUACGUGCCAGCAGCCGCGGUAAUACGUAGGUGGCAAGCGUUGUCCGGAUUUAUUGGGCGUAAAGGGAACGCAGGCGGUCUUUUAAGUCUGAUGUGAAAGCCUUCGGCUUAACCGGAGUAGUGCAUUGGAAACUGGAAGACUUGAGUGCAGAAGAGGAGAGUGGAACUCCAUGUGUAGCGGUGAAAUGCGUAGAUAUAUGGAAGAACACCAGUGGCGAAAGCGGCUCUCUGGUCUGUAACUGACGCUGAGGUUCGAAAGCGUGGGUAGCAACAGAUAGAU
This 777-nucleotide ribosomal RNA is filed under the name Ligilactobacillus salivarius. RNAcentral's name for it is "bacterial SSU rRNA". It matches the Rfam family "Bacterial small subunit ribosomal RNA", at positions 33 to 783 of the family's 1533-position model. The record is from RNAcentral. Lineage: Bacteria; Bacillati; Bacillota; Bacilli; Lactobacillales; Lactobacillaceae.